UCAGAGUAAUUCGUCCUCAUCCCAAUGCUCGUCAUCUACGGUUGGAAAAAGCCAUGAACUUUAUGUGGCAUAACGGCUCACCUCUAUGGGUACACAGUGUGGAAGCGGACAAAGUCUCUAGCUCACAAAGAUGAGUGGAGAUGACUUUGUCCGCUUCCGCUCGGUCUGCCUGCAUUGGAGAACCGUUGUGCCGUGUAAAGGGCAUGAAUUCUUCCAGUUGUUGAUGAUGGUGAGCCACUGGGAUGAGGAUGAAUACUCCGACAACA
Molecule: microRNA precursor, 266 nt
Filed under: Oryza sativa (Asian cultivated rice)
Lineage: Eukaryota; Viridiplantae; Streptophyta; Magnoliopsida; Poales; Poaceae
Description: miR5158 stem-loop (osa-MIR5158)
Source: miRBase by way of RNAcentral